UCUCUCUCCUGCUGCCCUGGGAAGUGGUGUCUUCUGCCAUAAUUGCUAGCAGAAACAAGACCAAGUUUGCCUUGUAGCAGAGCCACAAGGUGUGCCUGAUCACAGGGCAGGAUAGUCACCUGAGGACUCUGGCCCUUGGCUUGGCUUGGAUGGAGAGAGGAUAAUGUUUCACUGAAUCCUCACAGUGAUCCGAAGAGGCAUGUAUUAGUCCAUUUUCACACUGCUGAUAAAAACAUACCUGAGACUGGGAAGAAAAAGAGGUUUAAUUGGACUUACAGCUCCACAUGGCUGGGGAGGCCUCAGGAUCAUGGCAGGAUGUGAAAGGAACUUCUUACAUGGU
Long non-coding RNA from Pongo pygmaeus (Bornean orangutan), 340 nucleotides. RefSeq lists it as uncharacterized. The record is from RefSeq and is a predicted model, not a curated record. The transcript is spliced from 3 exons. NCBI's taxonomy places the organism in Eukaryota, Metazoa, Chordata, Mammalia, Primates, Hominidae.